RNAcentral lists this non-coding RNA (188 nucleotides) under Deltaproteobacteria bacterium. RNAcentral's name for it is "6S RNA". It matches the Rfam family "6S / SsrS RNA". Rfam says of the family: E. coli 6S RNA was the first non coding RNA to be sequenced, but its function was unknown until recently. It consists of 184 nucleotides that fold into an extended hairpin structure with a large single-stranded internal bulge. Lineage: Bacteria; Pseudomonadati; Myxococcota; Myxococcia. The record is from RNAcentral.
UACUCUCUGGCGUGUUCGUUACGGGUGUUAUUAAGGGGACUCCGCGUACUGACCCGCGGGGAUCUGUUCCUUGUCGUGGCGUGCAUACCGGUCAUAGCGUAUCGGGAGCCAAAAGCGACAACACGGAGCCCACCUUGAAAAAGGAUGCGGAGUCAUGAAUAUCCCGAACACGGCACGCUGGAGUUAUU